This 492-nucleotide ribosomal RNA is filed under the name uncultured bacterium. RNAcentral describes it as "partial 16S ribosomal RNA". It matches the Rfam family "Bacterial small subunit ribosomal RNA", at positions 29 to 507 of the family's 1533-position model. The record is from RNAcentral.
AGUGAACGCUGGCGGUAGGCCUAACACAUGCAAGUCGAACGGCAGCACAGUAAGAGCUUGCUCUUACGGGUGGCGAGUGGCGGACGGGUGAGGAAUACAUCGGAAUCUACUUUUUCGUGGGGGAUAACGUAGGGAAACUUACGCUAAUACCGCAUACGACCUACGGUUGAAAGCAGGGGAUCUUCGGACCUUGCGCGAUUGACUGAGCCGAUGUCGGAUUAGCUAGUUGGCGGGGUAAAGGCCCACCAAGGCGACGAUCCGUAGCUGGUCUGAGAGGAUGAUCAGCCACACUGGAACUGAGACACGGUCCAGACUCCUACGGGAGGCAGCAGUGGGGAAUAUUGGACAAAGGGCGCAAGCCUGAUCCAGCCAUACCGCGUGGGUGAAGAAGGCCUUCGGGUUGUAAAGCCCUUUUGUUGGGAAAGAAAAGCAGCAGGUUAAUACCCCGCUGUUCUGACGGUACCCAAAGAAUAAGCACCGGCUAACUUCGUG